GACGAACCGAGCGAACGUUAUUCGGAAUCACUGGGCUUAAAGGGUGCGUAGGCGGGCCCGUCAGUCAGGGGUGAAAUCCCACGGCCCAACCGUGGAAGUGCCUCUGAUACUGCGGGCCUGGAGGGGGAUAGGGGCGUGCGGAACUUCCGGUGGAGCGGUGAAAUGCGUAGAUAUCGGAAGGAACACCGGUGGCGAAAGCGGCGCGCUGGAUCCCUACUGACGCUGAGGCACGAAAGCGUGGGGAGCAAACAGG
RNAcentral lists this ribosomal RNA (253 nucleotides) under uncultured bacterium. RNAcentral describes it as "partial 16S ribosomal RNA". It matches the Rfam family "Bacterial small subunit ribosomal RNA", at positions 524 to 776 of the family's 1533-position model. The record is from RNAcentral.